This 492-nucleotide ribosomal RNA is filed under the name uncultured bacterium. Its description in RNAcentral is "partial 16S ribosomal RNA". It matches the Rfam family "Bacterial small subunit ribosomal RNA", at positions 29 to 507 of the family's 1533-position model. The record is from RNAcentral.
AGUGAACGCUGGCGGUAGGCCUAACACAUGCAAGUCGAACGGCAGCACAGUAAGAGCUUGCUCUUACGGGUGGCGAGUGGCGGACGGGUGAGGAAUACAUCGGAAUCUACUUUUUCGUGGGGGAUAGCGUAGGGAAACUUACGCUAAUACCGCAUACGACCUACGGGUGAAAGCAGGGGAUCUUCGGACCUUGCGCGAUUGAAUGAGCCGAUGUCGGAUUAGCUAGUUGGCGGGGUAAAGGCCCACCAAGGCGACGAUCCGUAGCUGGUCUGAGAGGAUGAUCAGCCACACUGGAACUGAGACACGGUCCAGACUCCUACGGGAGGCAGCAGUGGGGAAUAUUGGACAAUGGGCGCAAGACUGAUCCAGCCAUACCGCGUGGGUGAAGAAGGCCUUCGGGUUGUAAAGCCCUUUUGUUGGGAAAGAAAAGCAGCAGGUUAAUACCCCGCUGUUCUGACGGUACCCAAAGAAUAAGCACCGGCUAACUUCGUG